This 776-nucleotide ribosomal RNA is filed under the name uncultured Neocallimastigales. RNAcentral's name for it is "partial large subunit ribosomal RNA". It matches the Rfam family "Eukaryotic large subunit ribosomal RNA", at positions 22 to 643 of the family's 3401-position model. Lineage: Eukaryota; Fungi; Neocallimastigomycota; Neocallimastigomycetes; Neocallimastigales. The record is from RNAcentral.
UAGAUGCGAGAGUAGAGCAUAUCAAUAAGCGGAGGAAAAGAAACUAACAAGGAUUCCCCUAGUAACGGCGAGUGAAGCGGGAAGAGCUCAAAUUUGAAAUCUUAAAGGGUUUCCCUUUACGAAUUGUAGUUUAAAGAAGUGUUUUCUGUUGGAGUUUCGGUAAAAGUUCUUUGGAAUAGGACAUCAUAGAGGGUGAGAAUCCCGUAUUUGACCGUUACUUUCCAGCUGUGUGAUACACUUUCAAAGAGUCGGAUUGUUUGGGAAUGCAGUCCAAAAUGGGUGGUAAAUUUCAUCUAAAGCUAAAUAUUGGCGAGAGACCGAUAGCGAACAAGUACCGUGAGGGAAAGAUGAAAAGAACUUUGAAAAGAGAGUUAAACAGUACGUGAAAUUGUCAAAAGGGAAGCGUUUGACACCAGUGUUGUUUUUCCGAAAAUCAAUUAAAAAUUGAUUCAUGCCUAGGUUGUAUUGACCUUAUCAGCUUGCAAUUUAGUUUUGGGUCUCUUUUUGAUGCACUUUUCGGUUAACAAGUCAACAUCAAUUUCCUUUGCUGUAAAAAGGUAAGAGGAAGGUGGCUUCAAUUUCGGUUGAAGUGUUUAUAGCCUUUUAUCUCUGCAGUCGGGGAGAUUGAGGUCUGCAGCGUAGAUCCUUCGGGGCUAGAUACAUUUGUGCUAAGCUAUAGUUCUUUAUAGACAACUUGUUGACUAUAAUCAAUCCUGUAACUUACUCGCUUAUGCUAUUUUACCUACGCUUAGGAUGUUGACACACGCGCGUGCUCG